UAAAGCGUGGCUCCAGUGUUACUAUGUGAAGGGGAUGAAGUCUGUAAAAGAUCACAACGGCAGAACUAUGUGGUUCAAGGUGAGCACACACACACACACACACCUGCCUUUUAGGCAGCUCAUGUAAUGUGAUUGUUUUGUCUGGUUUCAGGAGACCCAGGUUCCAUGGCUCCUAAAGAUGCCAUAUCUCCCAAAACAAAGAUGACAGUGAAGAAAGAGACGACCAUGAUUAUAAAGGGGGAAAAGAGGUAAAGAAGGCCCGCUCCAGAGAGACGAUGAAGCCAAAAUACAUAAAGGAAACAGUGGAGAAAAAAGGAAGUCCCUCAGAGACGAGCAGGAAGGAGAAGUAAACUCCUCAG
Salvelinus sp. IW2-2015 is the source of this 359-nucleotide long non-coding RNA. RefSeq lists it as uncharacterized. The record is from RefSeq and is a predicted model, not a curated record. Lineage: Eukaryota; Metazoa; Chordata; Actinopteri; Salmoniformes; Salmonidae.